This 77-nucleotide transfer RNA is filed under the name Succiniclasticum ruminis. RNAcentral's name for it is "tRNA_Cys_GCA". It matches the Rfam family "tRNA". Rfam says of the family: Transfer RNA (tRNA) molecules are approximately 80 nucleotides in length. Their secondary structure includes four short double-helical elements and three loops (D, anti-codon, and T loops). Further hydrogen bonds mediate the characteristic L-shaped molecular structure. tRNAs have two regions of fundamental functional importance: the anti-codon, which is responsible for specific mRNA codon recognition, and the 3' end, to which the tRNAs corresponding amino acid is attached (by aminoacyl-tRNA synthetases). tRNAs cope with the degeneracy of the genetic code in two manners: having more than one tRNA (with a specific anti-codon) for a particular amino acid; and 'wobble' base-pairing, i.e. permitting non-standard base-pairing at the 3rd anti-codon position. Lineage: Bacteria; Bacillati; Bacillota; Negativicutes; Acidaminococcales; Acidaminococcaceae. RNAcentral also lists the same sequence under 4 other names. The record is from RNAcentral.
GGCGGCGUAGCCAAGCGUUUAAGGCAAUAGUCCGCAAGACUAUCAUUCCCUGUGUUCAAAUCCAGGCGCCGCCUCCA